AGCUGACAGAAGCCCAGGCUCAGUCUGAGGCUCUGGCUGAAAAGAACCAGCAGCUGGAGGCUCAGCUGGCUGACCUGAAGGAGAGAUACAACCAGGAGUAUAAAACAAUAAUCGCAGAGGAGCGAGAGUGGAGGGAGGAGCUUGACAGAGACCUGAAGGUUCUGAGGAAGGAAUAUGAAAAUAAGAACAACCAGCUGAGAGAAAUCCAAAAGGAAGCAGAAUCUAAAACCUCUGAAGACGUUUCAGCACCGGCAGAAGAAGAGGAAGAAGAUUCAUAAAACUAUAUAUUUAAUAGUCUUUUAGAUGAACUGAACUUCAGCAGUUAGCUAAUGACAACUCUGAAACUGCUAUUUUUAAUUUAAGGCUUGGAAAACAGUCAGUUUAAUCACAUUAUUGAAUUAGGUGAUGGUGUGAUAUAUAUAUAUAUAUAUAUUGUUGUGUAAAUUUAAGCCAAACAAAGUUAUCAUAAAUAGUCUAAAUGUAAUUAUUUUUGCACAAUAUUUAUUUUCUUGUGUUAUCUACAAGACACAAAACUGGUUUGGAUUACUUUACUUAUAUUUAAUUUAAAGUGUCCAGUUGUGUUUUAUGCUACAACGAGAUGUUUUUGUUUUCCAAUAAAAAUGUAUCCCAGCUUUA
This is a long non-coding RNA of Xiphophorus couchianus (Monterrey platyfish), 636 nucleotides long. RefSeq lists it as uncharacterized. The record is from RefSeq and is a predicted model, not a curated record. The transcript is spliced from 3 exons. NCBI's taxonomy places the organism in Eukaryota, Metazoa, Chordata, Actinopteri, Cyprinodontiformes, Poeciliidae.